UACGUAGGGGGCAAGCGUUGUCCGGAUUUAUUGGGCGUAAAGGGUGCGUAGGCGGUCCUAUAAGUCAGUUGUGAAAUACGGCAGCUUAACUGUCAAGGUGCAAUUGAUACUGCAGGACUUGAGUACAGACGAGGUAGGCGGAAUUGACGGUGUAGCGGUGAAAUGCUUAGAUAUCGUCAAGAACACCGAUAGCGAAGGCAGCUUACUAGACUGUAACUGACGCUGAUGCACGAAAGUGCGGGGAUCAAACAGG
RNAcentral lists this ribosomal RNA (253 nucleotides) under uncultured bacterium. RNAcentral's name for it is "partial 16S ribosomal RNA". It matches the Rfam family "Bacterial small subunit ribosomal RNA", at positions 524 to 776 of the family's 1533-position model. The record is from RNAcentral.